UUAGUGGCGGACGGGUGAGUAACGCGUGGAAAACCUGCCGUAUACUGGGGGAUAACACUUAGAAAUAGGUGCUAAUACCGCAUAAGCGCACAGCUUCGCAUGAGGCGGUGUGAAAAACUCUGGUGGUAUACGAUGGUUCCGCGUCUGAUUAGCUAGUUGGUGGGGUAAUGGCCUACCAAGGCAACGAUCAGUAGCCGGCCUGAGAGGGUGAACGGCCACAUUGGGACUGAGACACGGCCCAAACUCCUACGGAAGGCAGCAG
RNAcentral lists this ribosomal RNA (262 nucleotides) under uncultured bacterium. RNAcentral's name for it is "partial 16S ribosomal RNA". It matches the Rfam family "Bacterial small subunit ribosomal RNA", at positions 92 to 354 of the family's 1533-position model. The record is from RNAcentral.